AAGGCAUCGGGUAAAGCAUUGGAGAGUAGUUUAGGAUUAGUGUAGGUUUACUUUUCAGUACCUUUUUAUUUUGGACUGUAUAAUUGGACUGGACACUAUAUUUUGGAUUCGUUUUGUUUGUGGUUGAUUGUUUUAUGUGUUUUUGUGUGGUUUAUACAUUCGUGAUGUCAAAUUAGCCGAUACGCUCCACCAAGCGACCGUGGUCGAACCACGGGAUCGAGGGAUGCCUAACACCUUCCCCUCGGUCAACAGAAUUCCUUAGC
Molecule: long non-coding RNA, 263 nt
Filed under: Capsicum annuum
Lineage: Eukaryota; Viridiplantae; Streptophyta; Magnoliopsida; Solanales; Solanaceae
Description: long non-coding RNA (CANN_LNC013567)
Source: RNAcentral